RNAcentral lists this ribosomal RNA (1059 nucleotides) under Bacillus pumilus. RNAcentral's name for it is "bacterial SSU rRNA". It matches the Rfam family "Bacterial small subunit ribosomal RNA", at positions 34 to 1077 of the family's 1533-position model. The record is from RNAcentral. Lineage: Bacteria; Bacillati; Bacillota; Bacilli; Caryophanales; Bacillaceae.
CGCCAGGGCGGCGUCCUAUACAUGCAGUCGAGCGGACAGAAGGGAGCUUGCUCCCGGAUGUUAGCGGCGGACGGGUGAGUAACACGUGGGUAACCUGCCUGUAAGACUGGGAUAACUCCGGGAAACCGGAGCUAAUACCGGAUAGUUCCUUGAACCGCAUGGUUCAAGGAUGAAAGACGGUUUCGGCUGUCACUUACAGAUGGACCCGCGGCGCAUUAGCUAGUUGGUGAGGUAACGGCUCACCAAGGCGACGAUGCGUAGCCGACCUGAGAGGGUGAUCGGCCACACUGGGACUGAGACACGGCCCAGACUCCUACGGGAGGCAGCAGUAGGGAAUCUUCCGCAAUGGACGAAAGUCUGACGGAGCAACGCCGCGUGAGUGAUGAAGGUUUUCGGAUCGUAAAGCUCUGUUGUUAGGGAAGAACAAGUGCAAGAGUAACUGCUUGCACCUUGACGGUACCUAACCAGAAAGCCACGGCUAACUACGUGCCAGCAGCCGCGGUAAUACGUAGGUGGCAAGCGUUGUCCGGAAUUAUUGGGCGUAAAGGGCUCGCAGGCGGUUUCUUAAGUCUGAUGUGAAAGCCCCCGGCUCAACCGGGGAGGGUCAUUGGAAACUGGGAAACUUGAGUGCAGAAGAGGAGAGUGGAAUUCCACGUGUAGCGGUGAAAUGCGUAGAGAUGUGGAGGAACACCAGUGGCGAAGGCGACUCUCUGGUCUGUAACUGACGCUGAGGAGCGAAAGCGUGGGGAGCGAACAGGAUUAGAUACCCUGGUAGUCCACGCCGUAAACGAUGAGUGCUAAGUGUUAGGGGUUUCCGCCCCUUAGUGCUGCAGCUAACGCAUUAAGCACUCCGCCUGGGGAGUACGGUCGCAAGACUGAAACUCAAAGGAAUUGACGGGGGCCCGCACAAGCGGUGGAGCAUGUGUUUAAUUCGAAGCAACGCGAAGAACCUUACCAGGUCUUGACAUCUCUGACAACCCUAGAGAUAGGGCUUUCCCUUCGGGGACAGAGUGACAGGUGGGUGCAUGCUUGUCGUCAGCUCGUGUCGUGAGAAUGUUU